AUUUAGAUAGUUUAUUUAAAAUUUUGAUUUGUGGCAUCAAAGAUAUAGUGAAGCUAUUCUA
Molecule: transfer RNA, 61 nt
Filed under: Glaphyrus comosus
Lineage: Eukaryota; Metazoa; Arthropoda; Insecta; Coleoptera; Glaphyridae
Description: tRNA-His
Source: RNAcentral